This 484-nucleotide ribosomal RNA is filed under the name uncultured bacterium. RNAcentral describes it as "partial 16S ribosomal RNA". It matches the Rfam family "Bacterial small subunit ribosomal RNA", at positions 30 to 507 of the family's 1533-position model. The record is from RNAcentral.
AUUGAACGCUGGCGGCAGGCCUAACACAUGCAAGUCGAGCGGAUGAAGGGAGCUUGCUCCUGGAUUCAGCGGCGGACGGGUGAGUAAUGCCUAGGAAUCUGCCUGGUAGUGGGUGAUAACGUCCGGAAACGGGCGCUAAUACCGCAUACGUCCUGAGGGAGAAAGGGGGGGAGCUUCGGACCUUACGCUAUCAGAUGAGCCUAGGUCGGAUUAGCUAGUUGGUGGGGUAAAGGCCUACCAAGGCGACGAUCCGUAACUGGUCUGAGAGGAUGAUCAGUCACACUGGAACUGAGACACGGUCCAGACUCCUACGGGAGGCAGCAGUGGGGAAUAUUGGACAAUGGGCGAAAGCCUGAUCCAGCCAUGCCGCGUGUGUGAAGAAGGUCUUCGGAUUGUAAAGCACUUUAGGUUGGGAGGAAGGGCAGUAAGUUAAUACCUUGCUGUUUUGACGUUACCAACAGAAUAAGCACCGGCUAACUUCGUG